RNAcentral lists this ribosomal RNA (396 nucleotides) under uncultured bacterium. RNAcentral's name for it is "bacterial SSU rRNA". It matches the Rfam family "Bacterial small subunit ribosomal RNA", at positions 28 to 419 of the family's 1533-position model. The record is from RNAcentral.
GACGAACGCUGGCGGCGUGCUUAACACAUGCAAGUGGAGCGACGAACCAGGGCUUGCCCUGGGGCAGAGCCGCGAACGGGUGAGUAACACGUGGGUAACCUGCCCAGAUGACCGGGACAACCCGAGGAAACUCGGGCUAAUACCGGAUGUGCUGUCUUCACAUCAGUGAGGCCAGGAAAGGUAGCUUCGGCUUCCGCACCUGGAUGGGCCCGCGGCCCAUUAGCUUGUUGGGAGGUAACGGCUCACCAAGGCUUCGAUGGGUAGCUGGUCUGAGAGGACGAUCAGCCACACUGGGACUGAGACACGGCCCAGACUCCUACGGGAGGCAGCAGUGGGAAUCUUGCGCAAUGCGCGAAAGCGUGACGCAGCAACGCCGCGUGCGGGAAGAAGGCCUGG